RNAcentral lists this long non-coding RNA (1305 nucleotides) under Citrus x clementina. RNAcentral's name for it is "Citrus clementina (C. clementina) long non-coding RNA (CCLE_LNC006252)". Lineage: Eukaryota; Viridiplantae; Streptophyta; Magnoliopsida; Sapindales; Rutaceae. The record is from RNAcentral.
GGGCUAUAGCCUUGGGGGGUGGGGCUGGCCAUCUUCAUCCGCCGGACUCGGAAUGCCGUGAGACUUUGCGAGGGAACUCCGUGUGCCAUAAAUAAUCCACGGGAAAAGCCGUGCCUAAAAAUAACCACCCGAAGGCCGGGGCGCCAAGUUCGUCCAGCGGUAAAAGGCCACAAAAACGGGUAGGCUAUAGCCUUGGGGGGUGGGGCAAGCCGACUUCGUCCGCCGGACUCAGAAUGCCGCGUGACUUUGUAAGGGGCCUCCGUGUGCCAAAAAUAGGCCGUGGGCAAAGCCGCGCCCAAAAAUAACCGCCCGAAGUCCGGGGCGCCAAGUUCGUCCAGCGGAAAAAGGCCACAAAAACGGGUGGGCUAUAGCCUUGGGGGGUGGGGCGGGCCGACUUCGUCUGCCGGACUCGGAAUGCUGCGAGACUUUGCGAGGGGCCUCCGUGUGCCAAAAAUAGGCUGCGGGCAAAGCCGCGCCAAAAAAUAACCGCCCGAAGGCUGGGGCUCCAAGUUCGUCCAGCGGAAAAAGGCCACAAAAACGGGUGGACUAUAGCCUUGGGGGGUGGGUCUGGCCAACUUCGUCCGCCGGACUCGGAAUGCCGCGAGACUUUGCGAGGGGCCUCCGUGUGCCAAAAAUAGGCCGCGGACAAAGGCGCCCCAAAAAAUAACCGCCCGAAGGCCGGGGCGCCAAGUUCGUCCGGCGGAAAAAGGCCACAAAAACGGGUGGGCUAUAGCCUUGGGGGGUGGGGCUGGCCAUCUUCGUCCGCCGGACUCGGAAUGCGGUGAGACUUUGCGAGGGAACUCCGUGUGCCAUAAAUAAUCCGUGGGCAAAGCCGCGCCUAAAAAUAACCACCUGAAGGCCGGGGCACCAAGUUCGUCCAGCGGUAAAAGGCCACAAAAACGGGUGGGCUAUAGCCUUGGGGGGUGGGGCUGGCCAACUUCGUCCGCCGGACUCAAAAUGCGGUGACACUUUGCGAGGGGCCUCCGUGUGCCAAAAAUAGGCCGCGGACAAAGCCGCGCCCAAAAAUAACCGCCCGAAGGCCGGGGCGCCAAGUUCGUCCAGCGGAAAAAGGCCACAAACACGGGUGGGCUAUAGCCUUGGGGGGUGGGGCAAGCCGACUUCGUCCGCCGGACUCAGAAUGCCGCGAGACUUUGUAACGGUCCUCCGUGUGCCAAAAAUAGGCCGCGGGCAAAGCCGCGCCCAAAAAUAACCGCCCGAAGUCCGGGGCGCCAAGUUCGUCCAGCGGAAAAAGGCCACAAAAACGGGUGGGCUAUAGCCUUGGGCGGUGGGGCUGGCCAACUUCGU